Pelobates cultripes (western spadefoot toad) is the source of this 462-nucleotide non-coding RNA. The record is from the annotation of a GenBank genome assembly. Lineage: Eukaryota; Metazoa; Chordata; Amphibia; Anura; Pelobatidae.
GUCGACAUACCAAAGAUGUUUACAUGCUGGAAAUCCGUUCCAACACUGGUGGCCUCCCGAGAUGGCUGAUCUAUAUAUAUUGAUCAUAUGGUAUGCUAGUUCCUGGUCCAAAGUUAAGUGAGGAAACUCAGAACAUGACUCACAGGUGCAGAUAUGGGAUCCAUGUGUUGUUCCAUGCACCAACCAUUCCAUGAGUCCCAGGCAUGGAGAUAGGAUUUCCUUGUUUCCUGGGCCCAAGCUAAUAGUAAUCUAUGGACAUUACUUUGAAUGUUGGGAAUCAUGGCUGAGCUGUCCAUAACGGGGUUUGAAGAUCAAGGAGGUCUGGUAACGCCUGAGAUGUAGAAGUGUCCGAGAAAUGAGAGAGAAGGAUGGAAAAGCGUAAUGACGACUACUCGGUCAUGGUUGCAGGAAGGCAUCUACUGCAAGAGCCUCUGGAUCUUGUCUUCAGCUGAAAAAUCUCAG